CUUGUAACCAAUUUCAGUUACUUCCUCCUUCCAACUGCUUCUCCAUUCUUCCGGACUCUUCUAGAAUAGAUGGGAGGACUAACAUUACCCUCAGUUUCCAAACUCACCUUGUCCUCAAAGUGAACAUCUGGAAAAUGUCGGGUGCUAGACGCGGCCAAUUCCCUCAUAACUUGAGUUACAUGCAGCCCUUUUCCAUUUCCACCCAGCUGCUCAGGUUCGUUCCCCACCCCUAACCAUUGGCCUUAGUGCUGCGAAGCCUUCAUCAUGGUUUUCAAUGAGACUCCCACUUUUUUAAGCCCAGAAUCUCCUUUCAAACUUACUAUUGAUUCUCCCAUUCGAAACUUCAUAGUGAGGAGUCUACAGUUGACUUCCAUAUUGCCUAGCUACCUAACCAUUGCAUCCUUAAGACGAUAUCCGUGCAGCCCAACUUUAACGAAAGGAAGUCUCCUACUAUUGUUAGUGAUGCAGACAUCAGUUUCAUUGGACCAUUUUAUCUUCCAUUUAUAUUUUAGGCCUUAUGUUUUAUUGGGCUUGUGUAUGGGUUCGGCCGAAGCGCUCAAAUUUGGUUUAUUAUUUUGUUAUUUAUAUGGUUAUAAUGGGAUUGAAAAUCAGUUGAUGAAUUGAUGAAGAUGAAUGAAAUGUUUCGUUAAGUUUUCUCCUCCCCGACCUAUCCUCUUAUUCUCUUCUUCUUCGGUCUUCUCCCCACAUUCUCUCCGGUUCUCCCCCGUUCUUGCUGCCUAUUUCUUCUUAAUCAUCAGCUUAUUUUCUGCUGGUUAUUGUUCAACUGCUGAAAUCCAAUUGAUCCUACAUUAAAUUUGGUAUCAGAGCUAAAGCUUGGGAGCUACUUUAUUUACACUGGCAAUUUCUAUAUAUACACCAAUCUGUCCCAACUUCCACCAUUCAUGCCUCAGUGUCCAACAACUAAUCCGACUCACAAAUAGCUUCCUCACCAUCUUUUCCACCUCCACCAAGUUCUCUAAAUCUGUAACCAAUCUAGGCAGCCUCCUAAAAUACAAACCAAGCAGCAACCUCUGCUGCAAAUCCGUCCUUGCACACCACACGAGAAAAACCAGACACACCCAAAUACAUACACAGUAUCCCAAUCAAAC
Molecule: long non-coding RNA, 1109 nt
Filed under: Olea europaea subsp. europaea
Lineage: Eukaryota; Viridiplantae; Streptophyta; Magnoliopsida; Lamiales; Oleaceae
Source: RNAcentral